GUUUUUGCGCAUGUUCCGCAAAAUAAAAGGAUAUUACUCAGCUGCAGGCCCAAGUCGCAUGUUUUACGAGGGCUGCACAAUUUAUCGCCUUAAAUUCCGCGAGAGAAAUGGGAGAGAGUCGGCGGAAGAGUGAGUGCAACUGCUCCUUCAUUAACAUUUCUAUUUUUUUUUUUUUUUUUUUCAAAUAAUCCAACAAAAAACGCGCGAAAACAAUCAAUAAAAUUAAGCAUUUUGGCGAACCCGCGAGAUACCAAGAAGCGACUCGAGUGCUCAUCGAUUUAUUUAUGAGCCGGUGAAAACGACUCAGAACUCAGAACAGGAACGAAGAUACCCAGAUACGGGUAUCGGGAGAGCGGUAGAGCGGUAGAGUGGCCUCCCAGACCCACUUGAGUGCUUUCGCCGGCCAUAAAGCACUCGCUCUCAUGCUCCAUCAUUAUUGGCUCCCAAAUUCCGUAUAUGGGUCAUUCCACUGGGAAUAGGCUGGGACUGCAAAAGGCCAGGCCAGGGAGAGUCCAUUAUAUAAUCGGCAAUUGAAAUUCCGCUUUUGAUUUUCGACAGCUCUCAGUUGUGGUUGUUGUUUAAAUUACAGUCGACACCUCAUCAAAACGAGUGUUUUUCCACCCGUGCGUGGGUGCAUGCGAUGCAUUUUAAUUCCGGAUCGAAGUAUCUCGACAUGAGAGGAUGCGACGGCAUAUUGUUGUAAAUGUUUGCUACAUAGUGUUGCGGCCUGGCCAACACCGAUCCCUGCCGCCGACGGCCGACAGAUGGCACUGCUGAACGACACUCCACUCUCAAUUCUCGACUCGUUCCCCGAAAAGAAACCCAAAAAAAAAGUGUUUGUAUGUUUGUUUGUUGGUUUGUGGCGGCGGCCAAGCCUUCGCAGCUAUUUUGAUUUUUGUUUUUUGGGUUCCCAACACGCACAAAAGCGUCAUCAUCGUGGUUGUGGAGCACAGGAGGAGCGGUGGGGAUUUAAACAUGCGUAUGGCAGAAAUAAAAAUAAAAAUAAAAAAUAAAAUCGCACAAAUCCGGCGACGAGGGGAGUUGUUUAUUUAUGAGUUCGCUGAGGUGGAAACACACGAAGCAUUCUCAAUGAGUCUUCAGUUUAUAAAGAUUAUGUAGCAACUGUCACAAGUCAGCUGCGACAAUUUAUUAAAUGUGUAUUUUUAUAAACAAACUAUUUGUGUUUAUCAACGGAAUUUUUCCGCUUAAAUGUUUCCCAGGAGAAUCACUAUAAUGUUCAAUGCCAAAAAAUUGGUUAUCUUGAGAGUAGGAAACCCACGAGUUCCCCCAGCCGAUCUUCAACAUCUAACCAUAUAAAAUCUAUGGAAAAAGAAACAUCUGCCGCACCUCUAUGGGGGCCUGCCCUAUUUGGCUUUGAUGCGACGGCACCCAAAGACACAAGAAACAAUAAAGGCAAUUAUGAUUAAUAAAAUAUGGCUGAUUAUAGAGCCGAGACACAUCGGAAAAGGCCAACAGAGCCCCGAAAGAAGGUCACUGAUUUUUGCAAGUGUACGGUGAUGGUGGGUGGAACCCUCUUCCUGAGUGUGUGUCUGUGUGUGUGUUUUUGCAACUGAAGGCACAAUGAUAAAUGUGCGAGCGAAAGGCACAAAAAAAAUAGAAAUUGGGUGAAUAAAUAGCCCAGAUUCCGUUGAGCAAGCAAAAAAAAAAAAAGUAUAGUAAAAAGGAACUCGAGGAGAAAGCCGGCGCAAGGCAAGUGGAAACAAACACAAAAAUUUCGCCGACGGCGAAUGCGAAUGCGAAUGCGAAAGGACGACAAGCGGCUAAAAGCGCGAGCGCUGAGCAGGGCAGAAAUUGGGGAAGCCAGGAGACCCGGAGAGCAAUAAAAUCAACAAACUCCGAGUAGAAUCCCAUUUAUCAAUGGCAAAAGGCAAAAGGAAUUCGGUGCGGAAAGCCAAAAACACAGUUAUGUAGUUUUCUGGCCAGGAGAAAGUCAGGGAAAUGGAAACGAGAGCGCCAUCAGGGCCAGGAUGCGUGAGAGUAGUAGGACUAAGAAAAAUAAGGACUAAGAUAUACAUAAAUAAUAAAUAAAUUAAAAUAA
Molecule: long non-coding RNA, 2059 nt
Organism: Drosophila ananassae
Lineage: Eukaryota; Metazoa; Arthropoda; Insecta; Diptera; Drosophilidae
Exons: 2
Source: RefSeq, a predicted model, not a curated record